GAUGAACGCUGACAGAAUGCUUAACACAUGCAAGUCGACUCGAGUCUUCGGACUUGGGUGGCGCACGGGUGAGUAACGCGUAAAGAACUUGCCUCUUAGACCGGGACAACAUCUGGAAACGGAUGCUAAUACCGGAUAUUAUGGUUUUUUCGCAUGGAGGAAUCAUGAAAGCUAGAUGCGCUAAGAGAGAGCUUUGCGUCCCAUUAGCUGGUUGGUGAGGUAACGGCCCACCAAGGCAAUGAUGGGUAGCCGGCCUGAGAGGGUGAACGGCCACAAGGGGACUGAGACACGGCCCUUACUCCUACGGGAGGCAGCAGUGGGGAAUAUUGGACAAUGGACCGCAAGUCUGAUCCAGCAAUUCUGUGUGCACGAUGACGUUUUUCGGAAUGUAAAGUGCUUUCAGUCGGGAAGAAGUCAGUGACGGUACCGACAGAAGAAGCGACGGCUAAAUACGUGCCAGCAGCCGCGGUAAUACGUAUGUCGCAAGCGUUAUCCGGAUUUAUUGGGCGUAAAGCGCGUCUAGGCGGCAAGGAAAGUCUGAUGUGAAAAUGCGGAGCUCAACUCCGUAUGGCGUUGGAAACUGCCUUACUAGAGUACUGGAGAGGUAGGCGGAACUACAAGUGUAGAGGUGAAAUUCGUAGAUAUUUGUAGGAAUGCCGAUGGGGAAGCCAGCCUACUGGACAGAUACUGACGCUAAAGCGCGAAAGCGUGGGUAGCAAACAGG
This 724-nucleotide ribosomal RNA is filed under the name uncultured Fusobacterium sp. Its description in RNAcentral is "bacterial SSU rRNA". It matches the Rfam family "Bacterial small subunit ribosomal RNA", at positions 28 to 776 of the family's 1533-position model. Lineage: Bacteria; Fusobacteriati; Fusobacteriota; Fusobacteriia; Fusobacteriales; Fusobacteriaceae. The record is from RNAcentral.